RNAcentral lists this ribosomal RNA (319 nucleotides) under uncultured Cercozoa. Its description in RNAcentral is "bacterial SSU rRNA". The stretch from base 108 to 319 matches the Rfam family "Eukaryotic small subunit ribosomal RNA", at positions 743 to 955 of the family's 1831-position model. The record is from RNAcentral. Lineage: Eukaryota; Cercozoa.
GAUUUCUGGUCGGAUACACCUAGCCCGCCACGGUUUCGUGUGUGAGUGCUGGUUGUGUAUCUACCAUCCUUCUAGUACUAGAUACUUGGGCAACUAAGAAUCUAGAGCUAGAUCUUUUACUUUGAACAAAAAUAAUCGUUUCAUGAAGGCAUUUUGCUAUGGAAUAAUUAGCAUGGAAUAAUAACUUAGGACUUCGGUUCUAUUUUGUUGGUUUCUAGAACUGCAGUAAUGAUUGAUAGGGAUAGUUGGGGGUGCUAGUAUUCAGUGGCCAGAGGUGAAAUUCUCGGAUUCACUGAAGACUAACUUAUGCGAAAGCAUU